This 1672-nucleotide long non-coding RNA is filed under the name Homo sapiens (human). RNAcentral's name for it is "non-protein coding lnc-NADSYN1-1:3". Lineage: Eukaryota; Metazoa; Chordata; Mammalia; Primates; Hominidae. The record is from RNAcentral.
CGGACUCGAGAUUGACGGCCCAGGCCCCGCCCUGCCGCCCCACCGGCCCGCCCGGGCCCUAGUGGGUGGGCGCAGCCUCUGGCGCUUCUUCGGGAUCCCAGCUGACCAGCUGGGGGUGGGGCGUGGCGGAGUGGCCACGUGGGCCGCGCGGAGAACGCGCCAGGCUCAUCACCUGGAUCAUCGUGCCUCAGUUUCCCCCUCGGCAAAUGGGGCUUCAGCGGCUCGCGACGCACAUUGAUGGAGCGUAUGUCCAGGCGCCGGUGCACCGCAAGGAGCAAAACAGACACAGUUCUUGGUCCUAGGGCUCACGUCCCGGGGCGAAGAGGAUCCUCCAUAAACGAUCAGCCAUAGCAGCUGUGAUUGGACAAGAGACUGAUUUCAGUGACUUUCUCCUAAUAAGAGACCACCGACCAGCUGACCAUGCCGACCAGCUGACCCGUUAAUAGAGAGAGAUGAUGCACCUGCAUGCCUUUGUGUCCUGAAAAGACGUUUUGCCAUAAAGGCCCUAAUUGUAAGAUGUGUAAAUGUUAAGUCUCCACCCCAAAGUGAACAUGGGUCAUAUAUUACAUGCUUUGCUCAAUAAGAGGGCAUGUGUCAGGACCACCUUCAUGAAUAUUCAUAGCUCCUCCUGUUACCUGUUGAAUAUGUAUGUUUAGCCAAUCCCUUCAGCAUAGCGCUCCUGCCCCAACCCCUCCUCCUUGGACGUGCCUGUCUCUGGCCUUGGCUGGAGACAGAUUCCCAGCCUCAGACAGAUGGCCGCCACCUUGCAGGCUACGACCGUUUACAAGAAAUAAAGCCUUCUCUUUUUCCAAAUUUGUGAAUUGUGUGUUUUUAAACUAACAUGAAUGACAGAAGGAAGGAUGGCCUCUUCAAGCAACGAUGAUGAGGCAGUUAUUUAUAUGGGGGAAAAAUGGAUUCUACCGUGGGUGGACUAAAGAGGAAAUGUGAAAAAAUAAAAAGUGAGAAACCGCUGGUAGUGAAUCGGUGCAAGCGCCCUGGAGAAGAGACUUGGCAAUAUUUAGUAAAGUCAAACAGCACGAACCCUACUACUCUGCAAAGCUGCUGCAGGAACUGGCGGAACGAGGUCACGAAGGAAACCUUGCCGGAAAGGAAAUUGCAGCAGUGCCUGUGUGCGUGCGUCUGUUGGCAAAACGCUGCUAAUAACGUCAAUGCCCAUCCGCUAUUGAAUAAACCUGCUUUACUGCCACUAUGGAAUACCAAACUGCAGAAAAAUAAUUAAAAGAACGUAUCUCAUAUUACAGGGGAAAAAAUCAAGUUGCAGAAGCACAUUCAAGUGCAGUUCCUGUAGUUUCAGAAAAGGCAAACAGUGCGCUACCUGAGCUACUUACACACGUGGUACAGGAGUGAAAGGGGCAGGAGAGGGUUCCCAAGAAUUCAGCGCCAUCCGCCCAGGGUGGCGGGAUUCCCAGCACGGAGAAUCGAUUGCUAUCGUCUGCUGUCCCGCGGGCACGAUGGAGCGCUCCUACCGUACUCUCCACUUUUGGUGUAUUUGGAACGUUUCAUGCCGUAUUAAAAUAAAACAUGGCUAAGCUGGAUGUGGGGUGGCGGUGUGGGAUAAAAUAGAGGGGUGCUGCAGCUGGGCGGUGAGCCCCCUGCACCUGUGCACCUGAACGGGUUUGCCCGCAAGGGCCGGGCCGGGGCCGGGGCCUGG